Molecule: long non-coding RNA, 3324 nt
Filed under: Ornithorhynchus anatinus (platypus)
Lineage: Eukaryota; Metazoa; Chordata; Mammalia; Monotremata; Ornithorhynchidae
Description: lncRNA (ENSOANG00000037818.1)
Source: RNAcentral
UUAAGACUGUGAGCCCCACGUGGGACAACCUGAUUCCCCUGUGUCUACCCCAGCGCUUAGAACAGUGCUCGGCACAUAGUAAGCGCUUAACAAAUACCAACAUUAUUAUUAUUAUUAUUAUCUCUUCCUCCACCGAUCUUUGACUUCUGCUCACCCCACAGCCUGUAACUCCCUCCUUUGUAUUCAACAGACCACAGCCCUCUCAUCUUCAAGCCCCUAUUUCAAGGAUGUGAAAUCCCAUCUCUGGGAGACUUUCAAUUAAUUUCAUUUCCCCACCUUAUAUCCCGUAAAUUCCACUUCCACAAGUUUGCAUAACUUAAGCACAGCCCAGCUAUACCUCCAUAGUGCUUAUGGACAUGUCUCACAUUCUCCAUUACAUAAACAAUAACUCAUAUACCCCCUCCCCUAAUUCCUCCUAUCUGCAAUUUAUUUUAGUGCAUCACCCCCAUAAAACCCCCACUCCUUGAGGGCUAGGAUCAGGAGUAUGAAUUGUGUUGUAUUCUCCCAGGUGUGUAGUGUGGCACACUGCCUUCAGUUAGACCUCAAAUUCUACCUAUAAUUCUCUCAGCAUUGAAAUGAUUCUUGUUGCAGCCAAUUCAUCAGGGCCGGCCAGGUGCGGAGAAUGACUAAGAGCAGGCUACAGCACCAGAACCAGGACUCCGGGGAAAGAAAGAAGUCCAGGGAAGACACCUCCCUCCUCUGGAUCUCUGGAUCUUUCUCCUCUAUAAGGCUGCCUGGGCCCAUCAGCCAAGAUGACACAGAAGAAGUAGCAUCUACCUCCCCGUGGACAGUGGGGAUUUCAUCAUAUGAAUGGAGCCCUUUAUAUCUGAUGCCCAUAAAUCAUAAAGGUUAAAAUGGGGGGGUUAAAUAUGACAAUUUAAUUUAGGCAUUUUGUACUCCUAAAAGUUUGGAAGUAAUAGACUGUAGCCCUUAAACCCUUGGGGCCUUCCACAUGCGUGUUGCUGAGGGCAGGGAAUGGGUCUGUUAGUUAUUACCAAAUUGAAUGAGUAUCUCAUUUUCAGUAGUUUACCAGAAGUCAUAAGUGCCAUUGUUUAGGGUGGGAAGGUAAGGUCAGGAUCCACUCUUUAGCGAAGAAACAAUUUUCCUGUCACUUUGCAUCACAUCAUUUCUCUCUGCAAGCUGGACAUCCAGGCUCUGAUCCAAUACCUCACACCCGUAAUUUACAGUUCCUCUUCAACAACUGCGGCUGCCCAAGGAAUCAGUGAGACCAAGGAUAUUCUUUGUGGGCAGCCCCAAUGGUAAUCCUUGCCAGCAGAAGCCCAGGACCUUUUAGAAUGUUUUUUUCCUCUGGACCCAUUAUUGGUCACUGUGGGUGAGGAGCCUCAUCCACCUCCCCUCCUGGAAGUAGCAUGACGUAGUGAAUAGACCGUGGGUCUGGGAGUCAGAAGGAACUGGGUUCUAAUUCCAGCUCUCAACCUACCUGCUGUGUGACCUUGGACAAGUCACUUAACUUCUCUGGGCCUCAGUUACCUCACCUGUAAAAUAGGGAUUAAGAAUGUGAGUCCCAUGUGGGACAAGAACUGUGUCUAACCUGAUUAACUUGUAUUUACCCCAGUGCUUAGAACAGUGCUUGGCACAAAGUAAGCCCUUAACAGGUACCAUAAUAAUAUGUAAUUAUUAUUAUUGUUAUGAUUUCCUGAGCUGAGGUUUAGGGGAGACACUCUGCUGGCCCUUCUUUCUCCGAUAACCAUACUCCCCAGUGUGUUGAUGUAACCUAGUGGAAAAAACGUGAGCCAGAGGCGUAAAUUCUUGUUCCGGGUCUGCCACUGAUCAGCUGCAUUACCUAAGGCAAGACAUUUGAGCACUCUCUGCUUCAGUUUCCUCAUCUGUAAAAUGGAGAUUAUGAUUUCUGCCUCAGAAAGAUAUUGGGAGACUAAAAUGAGAUGAGUGGAAGGAGCUUUGUAAAAAAAUUAAAGCACCCUACAAAUUCAAGGCUCAAGAAACAUGGUCAUUCGUUCAAGUCAUAUUUAUUGAGCGCUUACUGUGUGCAAAGCACUGUACUAAGCGCUUGGGAGAGUAGGCUAUAAAAAUAAACAGGCACAUUCCCUGCCCACAACAAGCUGUCAUACUGAACUCUCCCAAACACUUAGUACAGUGCUCGGUACACAGUAAGUGCUCAAUACAUACGAUUGAUUGAUUGAUCAAGAUGCUUGGUGGCAUCCUUGUGCUGCUGCUUUACGUGAUUUUUUUUUAAACCAAAGAAUUUAUCCUCUUAACUUCCACCUCAUCACUUGUGCACACACAAGUCAUCCGUAGCACUUCAGGACAUAUCUAUUUGAAGUACAUUGCUAUUUAAAUAUUUGUUUUUCUGCAUGCCUAUCUUUCCAGGAACUUUUUCCUCCUCCCUGUAAAGUAUUUUGUGUCUGCUUCCCUAGCUAGAUUGUGAACUCCUGGAGGAGUUCUACCUCUAUUUUAUUUUUUUUAGGCUAAGCUUAGUGCUCUGCACCCAAGAGAUGCUCGGAAAAUAUUACUGAUCGAUUGACUGGAGUGUUUUGCACAAAUCGUGGCUAUCCCCCAGGGAAUUGUUGUUCCAGAAGGGUCUUGUCCAACCCAAAUUGCUUCUAUCCACCUCGGGGCUUAGAAAAGUGCCCGGCACAUAGUAAAUGCUUAACAAAUUCAUAAAAAGUCGAUCAAUCAGUGGCAUUUAUUGAGCACCUAUUGUGCGCAGAUAAGAUGGAGAGAGCAGCGAUUUACCAGAUGUGAAGGGAGAGGGAGUACCAGGCAAGAGGGAAGGCAUAAGCAAGAAGAGGUCUGUGGUCUGAGUCCAGUUGCUGGUCCUCAAAUCCCCCGCCCAGCCCUAAAAGCAGAGACUGGGGUGAUGGCAAGAGGUAGAAAUUUCCAAACCUCACUUACUCCUUGCCUCAAGUCUCUCUCCUCAGUCCAUACUUCACUCUGUUACUUUUUUAAACACUGUUCUGCACACAACUCCCUACUCCUCAAAUAACAUCAAUGGUUGGCCAUUUGUCUCCACAAGCGGAGGUUUCUAACCAGUUUUAAGGCAUUCAGUCAGCUCUCUCCUUCCAUUUUAUCCUCUCUUUUCUCAAUCAAUCAAUGAGCACUUACUUUGUGCACAGCACUGUACUAAGGCUUGGAGAAAUACAGUAUAAAAGGAUUGGUAGAUGUGAUACCACUACAGUGCAACUUGCCCGCUUCAUUUGUCUCAAGGCAACUCAUAUCAUACUCUCCCAAAUGUGCACUACAGUGCUCUGUUCCCAAAACUCAGUAAAAACCACUGAUUAAUUGAACUUAUUCACUGUGCCUCAUUCUUGUCUCUAACACCACAGACCUCUUCUUGUUUAUGCC